Molecule: long non-coding RNA, 337 nt
Organism: Gadus morhua (Atlantic cod)
Lineage: Eukaryota; Metazoa; Chordata; Actinopteri; Gadiformes; Gadidae
Exons: 3
Source: RefSeq, a predicted model, not a curated record
UAAAAUCGAAAAUGAUCGCCAGAAAACAGUGGGAGCUUUUUCUGGAAGAAAUGGGGGUGGAGGGGAAAGUGACCAGGCAACAGGCUUCUAAGAAGUGGGAGAACCUUAAAAAGAAGUACAAGGCCCGCUCUAUCACAGAACGCACCUUGGAUUGGCGGUAAUUAAAGCGUUGCUGCACCCGCCCAAUCACCGGCUCUUUAUAGGGAGUCAACAGACAUACGGGCGUCUGGAGGCAGGGGUACCCACCAUCACCUAAAAGCAUGUAACCCGGCGGUGGAUACCUGGCAGUCAAAUAAAAAUAACUGUUUUUCAUUACCCUUGUCCUUUAUGUUUCUUG